GAUGAGCGCUGACAGAAUGCUUAACACAUGCAAGUCAACUUGAAUUUGGGUUUUUAACUUAGAUUUGGGUGGCGGACGGGUGAGUAACGCGUAAAGAACUUGCCUCACAGCUAGGGACAACAUUUAGAAAUAAAUGCUAAUACCUGAUAUUAUGAUUUUAAGGCAUCUUAGAAUUAUGAAAGCUAUAAGCACUGUGAGAGAGCUUUGCGUCCCAUUAGCUAGUUGGAGAGGUAACAGCUCACCAAGGCGAUGAUGGGUAGCCGGCCUGAGAGGGUGAACGGCCACAAGGGGACUGAGACACGGCCCUUACUCCUACGGGAGGCAGCAGUGGGGAAUAUUGGACAAUGGACCGAGAGUCUGAUCCAGCAAUUCUGUGUGCACGAUGAAGUUUUUCGGAAUGUAAAGUGCUUUCAGUUGGGAAGAAAUAAAUGACGGUACCAACAGAAGAAGUGACGGCUAAAUACGUGCCAGCAGCCGCGGUAAUACGUAUGUCACGAGCGUUAUCCGGAUUUAUUGGGCGUAAAGCGCGUCUAGGUGGUUAUGUAAGUCUGAUGUGAAAAUGCAGGGCUCAACUCUGUAUUGCGUUGGAAACUGUAUAACUAGAGUACUGGAGAGGUAAGCGGAACUACAAGUGUAGAGGUGAAGUUCGUAGAUAUUUGUAGGAAUGCCGAUGGGGAAGCCAGCUUACUGGACAGAUACUGACGCUAAAGCGCGAAAGCGUGGGUAGCAAACAGGAUUAGAUACCCUGGUAGUCCACGCUGUAAAC
This 766-nucleotide ribosomal RNA is filed under the name uncultured organism. RNAcentral's name for it is "SSU rRNA". It matches the Rfam family "Bacterial small subunit ribosomal RNA", at positions 28 to 807 of the family's 1533-position model. The record is from RNAcentral.